CCUACGGGAGGCAGCAGUUAGGAAUUUUGCACAAUGGGCGAAAGCCUGAUGCAGCAACGCCGCGUGGACGAUGAAGGCCUUCGGGUCGUAAAGUCCUUUUCAGAGGGAAGACAUCGACGGUACCUCUGGAAUAAGCCACGGCUAACUACGUGCCAGCAGCCGCGGUAAU
RNAcentral lists this ribosomal RNA (169 nucleotides) under uncultured bacterium. Its description in RNAcentral is "partial 16S ribosomal RNA". It matches the Rfam family "Bacterial small subunit ribosomal RNA", at positions 338 to 524 of the family's 1533-position model. The record is from RNAcentral.